UGGUUAGUGUUCUUCCUGCUA
RNAcentral lists this non-coding RNA (21 nucleotides) under Arabidopsis thaliana (thale cress). Lineage: Eukaryota; Viridiplantae; Streptophyta; Magnoliopsida; Brassicales; Brassicaceae. The record is from RNAcentral.